UGGGGAAUCUUCGGCAAUGGGCGAAAGCCUGACCGAGCCAUGCCGCGUGAGUGACGAAGGCCUUAGGGUCGUAAAGCUCUUUCGCCAGGGAUGAUAAUGACAGUACCUGGUAAAGAAACCCCGGCUAACUCCGUGCCAGCAGCCGCGGUAAUACGGAGGGGGUUAGCGUUGUUCGGAAUUACUGGGCGUAAAGCGCACGUAGGCGGACUAUUAAGUCAGGGGUGAAAUCCCGGGGCUCAACCCCGGAACUGCCCUUGAUACUGGUAGUCUUGAGUUCGAGAGAGGUGAGUGGAAUUCCGAGUGUAGAGGUGAAAUUCGUAGAUAUUCGGAGGAACACCAGUGGCGAAGGCGGCUCACUGGCUCGAUACUGACGCUGAGGUGCGAAAGCGUGGGGAGCAAACAGGAUUAGAUACCCCCGUAGUCC
This 424-nucleotide ribosomal RNA is filed under the name uncultured prokaryote. RNAcentral's name for it is "bacterial SSU rRNA". It matches the Rfam family "Bacterial small subunit ribosomal RNA", at positions 355 to 796 of the family's 1533-position model. The record is from RNAcentral.